Panicum virgatum (switchgrass) is the source of this 4464-nucleotide long non-coding RNA. RefSeq lists it as uncharacterized. The transcript is spliced from 6 exons. The record is from RefSeq and is a predicted model, not a curated record. NCBI's taxonomy places the organism in Eukaryota, Viridiplantae, Streptophyta, Magnoliopsida, Poales, Poaceae.
GAGAUAGCUUUGGAUAUGAGUGCUUGGAGAUAGCUAUCAAUGUGCCUGAACCUUGAACUUAUUUCUUUCGGGUUUCAUCUCUAGCCUACCCCAACUUGCUUGGGAAAAAAAAGUCUAUGUUGUUGUAAAUAUAUUCCCAAUCUAUUCAGUACAGGUCAAAUGUAUCUGUUAUUAUCUUGACAAGAGAGUGUUGAAAAAAGCCACCAUGUUUGUGGAGAGGGGUUAUAAAGUACCUCAUUAAGUGAGUGUUUUUGUGGCUUUUUCUUAGAUAAGAUUCACAUUGCCUCAAUUUAUACUAGUUUAGGCUAAGAAUUUCUAUCUUUUGAAGGACUAGAUUUGAGUUAAAUUUGAUAAGAAAAUAUAAUCUCUCGUUCCAUUUUUUUUUUAAAAAAACUAUCUUUAAGCUCUAAGACUUCAUUCUUGUCGAAGGGGUUCCGACGCCCUUGAAAUCUGUCUACAUGGGAAGAUGCAUGUUUUUCAUGUGCUUGUUUUGGGUUAUGAUGAUCUUGUGAACGUGGCCAAAUUUUGGCCGUGCUUAGAUGUUUAAGCUUCCAUUUGUUUCGAAGCCACAAUUUGGUAUUGGCAUGGAAAAUUGUUCUAUAGCAAACAUGAGAUUAACUCGAGAAGCUCUAAUUUGGCCUUCCAAUAUUUUGCGUAGAUACAAUACAAACCAUACAAUCCCGUUCUAAGAUAAGAUAAAUCAUUUGGAAACAUAUGCAAACUCUUACCCAAACGCCAAGAUAAAUCAAUUUUUUUAACAAUGGAAAAGAUUAUCCAGCUUCACCCUCAUUGAGGGGAUCAGACCAACAUUAUUACAUGCAUGUAGUAUCAAUCACACCAUGUUCGCGCAAACAUUUAAAGUAUGAAAUAUGAAAGACAAUUCGUAAAAGUAUGAAAUAUGAAAGACAAUUCGCAAACUAAAAGACUAUCCCUGCGAUACGAAGAAAUAAAGAGCUGAUAUCUCCAGCAAAUGACAUGCAUGAAUCAUCUUUUCCUUUUGAUGUAGCAAAUACGUUUCUCUAAAAAAACCUGCAAAAAAAAGUUUUUGGUUGAUAUUUGUUAAAGACGACAACAUUCAUAGAGAACUAAAUCACCUAGUACAUAGCCCAUAUGCCUGUUAAUAAAUGUAUUUUUGGUUUAUGACCCCAUUGUUUUAACCAAUGAUUAAAUAAAUCAUCAACAAGGUGCUGUAUACUUUCUUAACCGUUAUAGAAGCUCCAAAUUUUGCUUCCAAUCUAAUUGUGCCUAGCUGAAUUAUGCUUUGCAAGUAAUACAUCACUUUUCGAGUACCACAUAAAAAGUUUACUCUUUAAACGUAUCUUCCAUGCCAAAUCUCUUGUAUAACCUUUACUAUUAACAAGAUUUAUAUAUAUAGAGUGUACAAUGAAGAAGCCAUUAGCUUGUAGGGAACAUGAGAAGGUAUACCUCCCCUCUUGUAAAUUAACAUUUAACAACUUAUCCACUAUAUAGAGUCAGUCAUGUAGUUUAUUCCCAACUAAAGCUCUCCUAGAGGAGAUAUUUAGUGGUGGGGUGCUAAACACUUCUGCUACUGUAGCAUGUUGUCAACGAAACAUGCUAAACAGAUAUGUGAAUUGGGACUUCAAUGUUUGGUCGUGCAGGCAAAUGUCUUCUCAAAAUCUUAUUUGUGAACCAUCUUUAAGCGAAAAAUAUCCCAAGCUAAGAAACUUAUCUUUCACCCCAUUAGGCUGGUCCAAAAAUACGAAUCUCCUAGCUUUUUAUUGACUUGCCCUAGAAUUUUAUUCUUUAGAUAAUUAUCCCUCAGCAACUCUUGCCAAAUGCCUUCUUCAUUGCAUAGUUUAAAUAACCAUUUACUAAGCAGAUAUUUAUUUUGAAUAUCCAGAUUUGUGUCCCAAACCACCUUGCUCUAACACAUUCAACUGAAACAUGAAUUUCCCUAGUAAUCUAACACACAGUGAUGAUAAUUUGUUUCAAAUUUUGGCUACACCCCCAUUUAAUUAUGAUCCAAACAUUCGAGAUAUAAGAAAUAGAAGAACAAACUAAGGACGUGUACCACUAAUAAUAUUAAAACAUAAACAAAUCAGAGUUCUCGUAGUUUCAAUUGACAUGCACAUUUAUUAUAAAGAAAAUGAAUGAAAUUAUUAAACGACCGUACGACAAAAGACAUGGCAUAUUUCUAUAGAUGAAAGUUGGUUCCCACGGCGGACAGCUAAAAUAAAUUUACUAUGUUCGAUCUUGUUUCUACGGCGUGGAUUCCUCGUUCGUGCAUACGUGUUUGAUCUCUGGUCUCCUCUUUCACACGAUGCAACCUCCGCGAAACUUCUUGCCCGUCUGCCUUUCCUGCCGCCGCAUCCUUCUUGCCUGCUUACCUGCCUGGAGCUCGACGCAUGGUCUUCUUUUCACACCUUGUGUGGUGAAAUCAGCUUUUACUGUUUACCGCUGCUUCCACGAAACUUCCUACUGUCGAUGCCGAUGGGAAUCCUUUUCUCUGCGUACCUCCGCUUCCAACCACGCGUAGGUCCAUCAGUAGGCCGAUCUCCGCCGCUGCCUUCCCAGUCGAUCUCCGCUGCUGCUCUGGUGCUGUCCUCGCCGAUCCAUCGUCUAUCCUCGCGCCGUGGUGCCGCUGCCCCUCGCUAGCCGCUACUCCUCGCCCACAGUCGGUAUGUCUGGCGGAGCGCGAGGCCGCUCGACUUCAGCCGCUCCCCGCCCACGGCCGGACCAGCCGUGGCCGGCCUGUCCUCGCGCCACGAUGCCGCUGCCCUUGGUCGGCGCCGCUCCUCCUCCCCCACAGCCGGUAGGGCCGUCGGCGCGCGAGGCCGCCCAGCUUCGCCGCUCCCCGCCCGCGACGGGUCUGGCCAGGAGAGCGCGCGCGUCCGGCCCCGGCUUCGCUACUCCUCCCUUCGAAGCCCAUCUCCGCGGUUCGGCGCCACCGCCGCCCGCCCUGCGCCCCGACUCCUCCGCAGCAUCCCAGCCGCCGCUCUACUGCAAGCCGUCCUUCUCAGCCCGCAUCAAAUCCUUCGCACGCAACGACUUUGCCCCCAAGAUCUGGAUCUGCUCGCUUUGUUUCUUCUCGAACCACUUCCGAGUUCCAACAUCCCCGCCGAGCUCUUCCUCCAGCACUCCACCGUUGAUAGCAUCCUUGGUGGCGUCGCGGCUCCGACGCCCCCAAAGCCACUGUGGAAGGCCGUCGCGCUCCUCCCCCAACGAGCUGCGCAACUACAACUGGGUUCAAUUCAAGGUCCAAGUUCAGAUCUUUUGUGUUCCGUCCCCAACGCACAAAUGGACAGGUCAACAGGAACAACGACGUUGCCGGAAGGGGUCUGGAUUGAGCUCCCUUGAUGCAAUUACUCUCAUCCUUCAUGCAGUUUCACUUGAUGACGAUGGAGCCAAGGAAGCAACAUCCGAGCAUUAGUCAUUUGCCAAAUUCAUCGCAGUAAGGUGCUUCCACAAUUGAGAUGGAGUACAUGCCUGGAUGGAUUGUUUGAGCAAUGCAGCAAGCACAACAUUAUGAGGGCCAAGGUCUUGCUCAGGUUGUCAUCCGGAAGCAGGCCUCCGGCACUGACACUGUAACCAUCGAUGCACCCACCCCCGAAGAAAUAUGAGAUCAAUUUAUAUAAGCUCAUUUAUCUAGAGAAAAUGGAUCUGGGCAGCCAAAGAUUUUUUUCCAUCGAUUGUCAUAUAUCAAGUUAGACUUCCUAAUAUUUAUUUUUCCCCUGCAGUUUGUUCAGUGCAAACUCCAAGUAUUAAAAAAUGAAUAUGUGAAUUCUACCACAGAGGAAAGAGUUUGUGCAUCAAUUACUAGCUACAGCAAAAGGAGUGGUUCUAUUCUUUUAAGCCUCUAUAUUAUCCCAGAUAUGGAAGAUUCAUAUUAUCCAUGACCUUCUUUACUGAAAAUUUGACUGUGUCAAACUCCCACCUAUACCAGCCUGGAUAAAAGCUGUUAUUGCAUAUAUGGAUUCACUCCUGCCUCCCGCUUACACCCACUUGGAUAUGCAAAACCCUUACCAGAAACAUAAAACUCUGCAUCCAAUCAGGCACACUCACUUGGGCAGUCACAUUUAUCAUUUGCUUCCCAAAAACAGAGACAAAAAUAUGAAGCCAUGUUGGGAGUCAAAUAUGACAUCUAUUAUUGUCAAAGCCUAUAGAUAUAUGUAGCUUGAAUGGCCAGUUAUGCAGUUGUGGAGCACUUAUCAUUUUGCUAAGAAUCAAGUGCUCUUCAAAAGUCUAGCAGUGUGCUGUAUUGAACCCGCCUAGCCUUCAAUUAUGUGAAGGCUAUCGCCAAUGAACACCUCCCUUAUGCUGUAACCACUAAUAUGCUUACUUCUCCGCUAAUUAGGGGCUGCUUUAAGAUGUCUACGGCAAUGACAUGUUUACUGUAUAAACCAUUUAUUGUUACCAUGAGCCCGUUAAAGUCUUUAUUUGUCUCUGAUAUUUGUAAAGCGUUCUCCACUUUUCUUACUGAAAAUGCUAAGAACUUUUGCUUGA